AAUAGGAGGCUGCUGAGAUAAGCCUGAGUUCUGACCGGGAGGAAAGGCUCUUUCUUUCUUUUCCAACUUUGUUAUCUUGUGUUUUAGGAUGGGCAACACAUGAUCCCAGAACAGAGGAAUAGUGUUCAGGAGUUAGAACACGCUCAGAGGUGUAAGAACUUGAAAGGUGAAGAAAGUUCAUUAAAGGGUUCAACGUCAUGAAACCAAGCUCACCGUUUCAUCUGGCUUCCAGAUUGAGAAGACAAAAGAAGCAGAGACCCCACUGACCCACAGCCUGCUGGGGAGCUACAGCCAGCCAGUAUUCCUCCUUCGAGCAGUCAUUGUUACCUACAGUUUUACAGCACUGGAG
Lontra canadensis (Northern American river otter) is the source of this 349-nucleotide long non-coding RNA. RefSeq lists it as uncharacterized. NCBI's taxonomy places the organism in Eukaryota, Metazoa, Chordata, Mammalia, Carnivora, Mustelidae. The transcript has 3 exons. The record is from RefSeq and is a predicted model, not a curated record.